CAAUAGCGUAUAUUAAAGUUGUUGCGGUUAAAAAGCUCGUAGUUGGAUUUCUGCCGAGGACGACCGGUCCGCCCUCUGGGUGAGUAUCUGGCUCGGCCUGGGCAUCUUCUUGGAGAACGUAGCUGCACUUGACUGUGUGGUGCGGUAUCCAGGACUUUUACUUUGAGGAAAUUAGAGUGUUUCAAGCAGGCUUACGCCUUGAAUACAUUAGCAUGGAAUAAUAAGAUAGGACCUCGGUUCUAUUUUGUUGGUUUCUAGAGCUGAGGUAAUGAUUAAUAGGGAUAGUUGGGGGCAUUCGUAUUUAACUGUCAGAGGUGAAAUUCUUGGAUUUGUUAAAGACUAACUUAUGCGAAAGCAUUUGCCAAGGAUGUUUUCAUUAA
This 380-nucleotide ribosomal RNA is filed under the name uncultured eukaryote. Its description in RNAcentral is "partial 18S ribosomal RNA". It matches the Rfam family "Eukaryotic small subunit ribosomal RNA", at positions 592 to 976 of the family's 1831-position model. The record is from RNAcentral.